GAUGAAGAACGCAGUGAAAUGCGAUAAGUAAUGCGAAUUGCAGAAUUUCCGUGAGUCAUCGAAUCUUUGAACGCACAUUGCGCCCACUGGUAUUCCGGUGGGCAUGCCUGUUCGAGCGUCAUUAUCCUCCCUCAAACCUCGGGUUUGGUGUUGGACCCAAGUUGUGUGAACAACUGGUCUUAAAGACAAUGACGGCGUCCGUGGGACCCUCGGUGCAACGAGCUUUUAGGAGCACGCGCCGAGUUUCAAGGACCUUCCGGGCCGGUCUCCUUUACCAUUUUACAAGGUUGACCUCGGAUCAGGUAGGAAUACCCGCUGAACUUAAGCAUAUCAAUAAGCGGAGGA
Molecule: unclassified non-coding RNA, 345 nt
Filed under: soil metagenome
Description: partial contains 5.8S ribosomal RNA, internal transcribed spacer 2, and large subunit ribosomal RNA
Rfam family: 5.8S ribosomal RNA (bases 1-121)
Source: RNAcentral